Molecule: ribosomal RNA, 615 nt
Filed under: uncultured Serratia sp.
Lineage: Bacteria; Pseudomonadati; Pseudomonadota; Gammaproteobacteria; Enterobacterales; Yersiniaceae
Description: bacterial SSU rRNA
Rfam family: Bacterial small subunit ribosomal RNA
Source: RNAcentral
GCGCAAGGUUAAAACUCAAAUGAAUUGACGGGGGCCCGCACAAGCGGUGGAGCAUGUGGUUUAAUUCGAUGCAACGCGAAGAACCUUACUACUCUUGACAUCCAGAGAACUUAGCAGAGAUGCUUUGGUGCUUUCGGGAACUCUGAGACAGGUGCUGCAUGGCUGUCGUCAGCUCGUGUUGUGAAAUGUUGGGUUAAGUCCCGCAACGAGCGCAACCCUUAUCCUUUGUUGCCAGCGGUUCGGCCGGGAACUCAAAGGAGACUGCCAGUGAUAAACUGGAGGAAGGUGGGGAUGACGUCAAGUCAUCAUGGCCCUUACGAGUAGGGCUACACACGUGCUACAAUGGCGUAUACAAAGAGAAGCGACCUCGCGAGAGCAAGCGGACCUCAUAAAGUACGUCGUAGUCCGGAUUGGAGUCUGCAACUCGACUCCAUGAAGUCGGAAUCGCUAGUAAUCGUAGAUCAGAAUGCUACGGUGAAUACGUUCCCGGGCCUUGUACACACCGCCCGUCACACCAUGGGAGUGGGUUGCAAAAGAAGUAGGUAGCUUAACCUUCGGGAGGGCGCUUACCACUUUGUGAUUCAUGACUGGGGUGAAGUCGUAACAAGGUAACCA